UCAUAGAAACAUAUAGACAUGCCGUAAACAGAUUAUUUAAGGCUGUUGUUGUCGAUUAUUGUAGGCUGCUGUUGUCGUUGUGCUUUUGUUAAGGAAACUUUUACAAUUAAAUUAAACUAUUUCUUACGGCGGCCAGUAAACGAUUGGUUGAUAUUUUAUUCAACGCGUCGCUUUCCCCAGCAGGUGUCCAAAUCAUACAUUUUCCAGACAACAAAUACGGCACUGAAGACGCUGAGUAAGCCAAAUAUCAAUCAGAAUCCGGUUAAAAUAUAGAAUAUAUUCAUCUCGAAUAUAUAUAACGGCAAAUAAUGUCAGGUCGUAAAAGAAGAUCGCGUUCAAAGAACUCACCCGAACCACCAAAGAAGAAAGCCAGUGAGCCAGGUAA
Non-coding RNA from Paramuricea clavata, 385 nucleotides. Lineage: Eukaryota; Metazoa; Cnidaria; Anthozoa; Malacalcyonacea; Plexauridae. The record is from the annotation of a GenBank genome assembly.